CUACGGAGGGGGUUAGCGUUGUUCGGAAUUACUGGGCGUAAAGCGCACGUAGGCGGAUUGGAAGGUUGGGGGUGAAAUCCCAGGGCUCAACCCUGGAACUGCCUCCAAAACUAACAGUCUAGAGUUCGAGAGAGGUGAGUGGAAUUCCAAGUGUAGAGGUGAAAUUCGUAGAUAUUUGGAGGAACACCAGUGGCGAAGGCGGCUCACUGGCUCGAUACUGACGCUGAGGUGCGAAAGCGUGGGGAGCAAACAGGAUUAGAUACCCUAGUAGUCC
RNAcentral lists this ribosomal RNA (274 nucleotides) under uncultured bacterium. Its description in RNAcentral is "partial 16S ribosomal RNA". It matches the Rfam family "Bacterial small subunit ribosomal RNA", at positions 523 to 796 of the family's 1533-position model. The record is from RNAcentral.